Molecule: non-coding RNA, 2492 nt
Organism: Pseudonaja textilis
Lineage: Eukaryota; Metazoa; Chordata; Lepidosauria; Squamata; Elapidae
Source: RefSeq, a predicted model, not a curated record
UGAGCUCUGCGGACUCUCCCGGAAGAUCACUCUAUGCCUUUCGUCUUGUCUCUCUUUCUCUCUGUUUGAUUCGGAGACUUCCUGCGCAUGCGCCCGGAUUCGUGUAAAACCAUGAGAGUCUUAAUCGGUGGCGGGACUGGAUUUAUUGGCCGAAACUUAAGCCGAGUGCUAAGGAGCCAAGGCCAUGAAGUCACCCUUAUUUCUCGUCAGCCUGGAAAGAACCGGUUAACCUGGGAUGAACUCUCCCGUGUAGGCCUCCCAUCCUGUGAAGGAGUGGUCAACCUGGCUGGAGUAAAUGUCCUCAAUCCUUUUCAGAGGUGGAAUGAUGCCUUCCGUCAGGAGGUCAUUUCCAGUCGAAUAGAGACCACAAAAUCCUUGGCGAAAGCCAUCAGAGAUGCUGAACACCCACCUCAGGCCUGGGUCCUUGUCACCGGCAUAGGAUUUUACCGGCCCAGCCACACCACCAAAUACACUGAAGAAAGUCCAGGCGGAGACUUCGAUUUCUUCUCUCGCUUGGUAUCCUCUUGGGAGGAAGCAGCUAAAAUUCCUAGUGAAGCCACUCGCCAAGUGGUAGUAAGAUCCGGUGCUGUGCUGGGCAAAGACGGUGGUGCCAUUAGCCAGAUGAUAUGGCCUUUCCGCCUUGGACUGGGAGGCCCGAUUGCUUCUGGGCACCAGCAUUUCCCUUGGAUCCACGUCGUUGACUUGUCAGGAAUUGUGACCCACGCCCUGCAGAAAGAGGGCCUUAGAGGCAUUUUAAAUGGUGUGGCGCCGUCUGCCGUGGACACCACCAGCGAGGACUUUGCCCGGGCGAUGGGGUCGGUGCUUAAACGUCCCGCCUUCUUGCCUCUGCCGGGUUUUGUAGUGAAAGCCGUUUUUGGCUCUGAGCGAAGCACCAUGCUGCUCGAUGGGCAGCGGGUGCUUCCCAAGAGGACUCUGGAGAGCGGCUACACGUUUGCAUUCCCUGAUCUUUCCUCAGCUCUCCAGGAUAUUUUAGAUUGACCUGAAGAGACAUGAGGCUGCAUGUCAACGUGUUUCCGUUUUGUCUAAUACUUGCUCGGUAGGCGCAACGCUCAGUCUUGUAAAUAGGUUGGUUUGUAAUGCCGUAGCUUGUUUUUGAGCACUGGAGUUUCCAAGUCAGGAUGUUGCUCUGUUCGAAAAAGUUUAGCUUGUUUCAGAAGAAUGAAAGCUAUGUCAUGGGGGAAACGGUGCUGUGAAGAGAAGAAGAGUAGUUUACAAUGGUUCCUCCCGUGGAUGAUAGAUUUGUCAUCUUUUCUUCUAGAAGUUAUCUUACCGCAACUAAAUGAUUAUCGGGACGGGCAGCAAAAUGUUAUAGUAUCUGUGAAACAAUGCAGCAAUCUUUGAAUGGAGAAUAUAUCAGUGGUGGAUUCCCAUGUUGGGUGAACUUUUGAAUGUAUUUAUUUAUUUGGGGUGCGGGGCGAUGGCUUAGAGCAGAGAUCUCCAAACUUGGCAAUUUUAAGACUUGUGCACUUCAAUUCCCAGAAUUCCUCAGCCAUCUUUGCUAGUGGAGAAUUCUGGGAGUUGAAGUCCACAAGUCUUAAAGAUGCCAAGUUUGGGGACCCCUGGUUUAGAGGUUAAGAUGCUGGGCUUGUCAUCCAGAAGGAGACAAGGAAAGAUUAAACAAGGAUGCAGUGGUCCCAAAAGUGCUUUUUUCCCCCCUAAGUCAACUAGACAUUGUUUUUCUUUGAAGAUGUUUCGCUUCUCAUCCAAGAAACUGCUUCGGUUCUGAAGGAAUGGUUGAGGACGGGAGGGUUUAUAUUUCUUGCAAACACUUGGUCGUUAGUGGUCUUUUUGACACUUGUUGAGGCUGCUUGGAGGUUUAUCUGUGCCCUAAAGGUCACCUAUAUAAUAGAAAUGGGGGAAAAAAAAAUAAUGAUAGGUCACAUCACGCCGCGAGUUUGACACCCCUGGUGUAGAACCUUCUUGGAACUGCUGAAAGGAUUGUGUUACAACAUCACCUAUCUCCUAUUUACAACACAGUUCUUUCAGGAAUUCUGAGAAAGUUCCACAACCAUUUGCAUGAUUCAGAGGGCACAGAUAAAACCUCAACGAGACUCAGAAAGAGCACUAACGACUGGAUGAUUGCAAGGAAUAUAAACGCUUGCAUCCUCCAACAUUCAUUCAGAACCGAAGAAGCUUCUUGGAUGAGAUUGCAAAAUGUCUUCAAGGAAAAGGAAAGUCCAAUUGCUGUCUGAAAAAAUCACCUUUGGGACAAGCAUGGCCUGGAUGACUGAGAAUCUCCAUAGACAAGGAUGCAGAAGGGGGCUUGCCAGAGGGGGAACUGGCAGGAAAUCCUCCGCCCCAUGAGCUUCAUUGGGCUCAAUUUUGUCUCAGUCUGAUGUUUCCCCAAGGCCACAGGUCUGCUCUUGACUUAGGAUUUCUUCCACCCCAGUCUUUGCAUUAGCUCAACAUGUGAUGCCAUUGUGCGGUUUUGCUUGCUUUUCGCUUUGUGGAAUUAAAUCAUGGUUAAGCAA